AUGUGUGUUUCCCAUCAGGUGAAGUCUUUUGAGAAGGACCGUCAGUCAGAGAAAAGAAUUCCCGAGUCGGAUCUGGUGGAUCACUUCAUCCAGAAGAGCCGGACCAAACUCUCUGAGGAGAGAAACAGAGAGAUAUCUGAGAGCGCGUCUCUACAGAACCCAAAGGGAUCAGUACUGGGAAACUCAGGUGUGUGUGAUUCACACUGCAGCAGCGGCCUUAUGUCCAUGAAUGUGAACCUGGUGACUCCAGAGAAGAUCUCAGCCAGUUCCAGGCGGAGAUACGAGACACAGAUCCAGACACGACUGCAGAAUCUGAGCAACAGCUUGCAGAACAGGAGCAGCGACAUCGAAGUGCUGGCCGUCGAUCUGCCCAAGGAAACACUCAUCAACUUCCUGUCCCUGGAGGUCUGUACCGCCCGCUAUUAUUAUCAGCUAUUCUGAGUAAAUAAAUGGCAUUCCAGUGGAAAACCAGCAGGAAAGGGGAUCCUGUGUGUGUGUGUGUGAAUGGUGACAGCCGGAUACAGGGAAACCCUCGGCCUGAGCAUGGGGAGCAAAUAUUAGCUGUGUUUCCAUCCACCUAUUGUUAUGUGCGUCUGGGAAAUACUUGCAGGUCUCUGGUUCGAGUCCCGGCUGGGUCAGUUGGUGUUUCUGUGUGGAGUUUGCAUGUUCUCCCUUUGUAUCUGGGGUCGCCACAGCAUAACCGACAACUUAUCCAACAUAUGUUUUACAUAGGGAAUGCCCUUCCAGCUUCAACCCAGUAAUGGGAAACACCCAUACACUCUCAUUAACACACCACACACACUCAUACACUACAGACAAUUUAGCCUACUAUUCCUCUAAAGCGCAUGUGUUUGGACUGUGGGGGUAACCGGAGCACCCAGAGGAAACCCACGGCAACACGGGGAGAACAUGCAAACUCCACACAGAAACAGCAACUAACCCAGCCGAGACUCGAACCAGCGACCUUCUUACUGUGAGGUAGAGAUCUGCGCGGGACUUAAUUUUGAAUCCCGCUCCCACCAGGUUUAGCCCAAACCCGACCGCUCCCGCAUAUAUUUAUCAUUUGUUGUCCCGCUUCUCGACCCGCCCUGUUUUCUACCCGCUGCACCCGUUCCCGCUAACGAACGAGGGGGAGAACAAAACCGAAAACCACCCAGCGAUACAGAGACCAGCCUAUAACAAGCUGUCUGUAUAAACAGACACACACACAAGCACCAAGCAAGUAACACACACACACACACACAUAUAGGCAUCACCACACACACAGCACAAAGCUCUCUCUCUCAUUUGCGUGCACACACACACACACACACACACACACACACAAACCUCUAAUUCUCGCGCGCACACACACAAACACACAAACCUCUAAUUCGCACACACACACACAAACACACACACAACCACACACACACACACACACAAACACACACACACACACACAAAAAACAAGCUAAAGGCAGCAGCUGUCUCAUUCACACACAUACAUUUGCGUGCUCGCUCGCUCGGGAGUCGGGAGCGAUAUUGUUGAACUGCCCACUCCAGUUCAAAAUUAAACCGGUUACCGACCGUUCCCGCGCUUUAUUCGGAAAUUGAUUCCCGCGGCGGUACCGCGGGAGACGCAGGACCCGACCGGAUUUCUUCGGCACAGUAAUAAAUUUCCGAAUAAAGCGCGGGAGCGGUCGGUAACUGGAUUAAUUUUGGAUGGAAGCGUGCGGUUCAACAUUAACUACCCACUGCGCCACCGUGACGCCCUAUUUUUUUAUAUUCUUUUACUUUAUUAUUUUAUAGUUUAUUUUAUUUCUAGUACAUUCAAAGUGUCACAUUACUGUCAUUUUUUUUUACAUUUUAAUGAAAAUUAGAAAUAAUUCAUAUUAAAUAAUGUUUUAAAUGUCAUUUUCUCAAAUAUAUGACAUGUUUUUUUAUUGCUUUGACUUUGGGUUUAAUACAUCAGGUUUAUAAAUGAAAAGGGGAUUUGGCAACUUUCUGAAACAGAAUAGGAUGUACAGUGUGUUGAAAACGAGAUAUUGUAAUGGAUAUAAAUGUUGUGAUGUGUUUAUAGCGCUCAGUAAUCAUCGUGUGUGUUUGUGUGCUCAGUUUGACGGCGAGGAGCAGUUCAACAUCAGUGUGAAGACGCUUCUGUCUCGACUGCCCAAACAGAGAUACCUCAAACUGAUCUGUGAACAGCUCCAGCACUUCAAGAUAUACAAGAGGUGAGCAGACUACAACAAUACAGCGGUAAAAGCAUCUCCAGAUUAGAGUCAUCAUAAUGGCAGACUCGGCCAUUAUAAGAGGAACAAAAAAACACUGAGUUCUGUGAGUGAACUCAAUGGGCUCUAUUUUGACGGUCCAUGCGCAGAGUGCAAAACGCAGGGCGCAAACGCUUUCAGGGCGUGUCAGAACACGUUUUUGCUAAUUUAAGGACGGGAAAAUCUGCCUUGCGCCGUGGCACAUGUUCUAAAAGGGUCGAGUUUAUUUUC
Danio rerio (zebrafish) is the source of this 2480-nucleotide long non-coding RNA. NCBI's taxonomy places the organism in Eukaryota, Metazoa, Chordata, Actinopteri, Cypriniformes, Danionidae. The record is from Ensembl.